GGAGUUAGCCGGUGCUUCUUCUGUGAGUGAUGUCCUUCCUGCCGGCUAUUAACCCGCAGGCCUUCUUCCUCACUGAAAGUGCUUUACAACCCGAAGGCCUUCUUCACACACGCGGCAUGGCUGGAUCAGGGUUGCCCCCAUUGUCCAAUAUUCCCCACUGCUGCCUCCCGUAGGAGUCUGGGCCGUGUCUCAGUCCCAGUGUGGCUGAUCAUCCUCUCAGACCAGCUACGGAUCGUCGCCUUGGUGAGCCGUUACCUCACCAACCAGCUAAUCCGACAUAGGCUCAUCCGAUAGCGCGAGGCCCGAAUGUCCCCCGCUUUCCCCCGUAGGGCGUAUGCGGUAUUAGCCUGGGUUUCCCCAGGUUAUCCCCCACUACCGGGCAGAUUCCUAUGCAUUACUCACCCGUCCGCCGCUCGCCACCAGGGAGCAAGCUCCCCGUGCUGCCGCUCGACUUGCAUGUGUUAGGCCUGCCGCCAGCGUUCAAUCUGAACCAGAUCAAAUUCUGA
This 506-nucleotide ribosomal RNA is filed under the name uncultured bacterium. RNAcentral's name for it is "partial 16S ribosomal RNA". The record is from RNAcentral.